RNAcentral lists this ribosomal RNA (483 nucleotides) under uncultured Desulfobulbus sp. RNAcentral describes it as "bacterial SSU rRNA". It matches the Rfam family "Bacterial small subunit ribosomal RNA", at positions 903 to 1382 of the family's 1533-position model. The record is from RNAcentral. Lineage: Bacteria; Pseudomonadati; Thermodesulfobacteriota; Desulfobulbia; Desulfobulbales; Desulfobulbaceae.
AAAUGAAUUGACGGGGCCCGCACAAGCGGUGGAGCAUGUGGUUAAUUCGAUGCAACGCGAAGAACCUUACCUGGUCUUGACAUCCCGGAGACCCUUAGGAAACUAGGGGGUGCUUCCAUCUGGAAGAAUCUGGAGACAGGUGCUGCAUGGCUGUCGUCAGCUCGUGUCGUGAGAUGUUGGGUUAAGUCCCGCAACGAGCGCAACCCUUGCCUUUAGUUGCCAGCAGUUCGGCUGGGCACUCUAAAGGGACUGCCGGUGUUAAACCGGAGGAAGGUGGGGAUGACGUCAAGUCCUCAUGGCCUUUAUGACCAGGGCUACACACGUACUACAAUGGCCGAUACAAAGGGCAGCGACACUGCGAGGUGAAGCCAAUCCCGUAAAAUCGGUCUCAGUCCGGAUUGGAGUCUGCAACUCGACUCCAUGAAGUUGGAAUCGCUAGUAAUCGUGGAUCAGCAUGCCACGGUGAAUACGUUCCCGGGCCUU